AUGCCAGCAAAAAAAAGAAGUCGGCUAAAAAAAGGAAGAAGAAGGCUGCGAGACGCCUCCGCCCGACCGCGGCGCCGCUCCGCCGGCGCCCCUGCCUGCCCGGUCGGCUGUGCCAAGCCGACCCAGCCGCCUGCCACAUCGCCGGCUGUGCCAAGCCGGCUCAGCUACAUCUCGCUCCAUCGUUUGGCCGGUCAGGCUCGACUGGUCGGACCCCCUUCGAGCGCCCGGAGGAUUGAAGGCUACCCCCAGUGGGUGCGCCGGUAUGCUCCGCGAGCACCAAGCCGCGUCGGCUGCAAGCCGGCAGCCGGCUGUCAUCGACGACCUCUGGCUCGUCCAUGA
This 339-nucleotide ribosomal RNA is filed under the name Triticum aestivum (bread wheat). Its description in RNAcentral is "partial small subunit ribosomal RNA". The record is from RNAcentral. Lineage: Eukaryota; Viridiplantae; Streptophyta; Magnoliopsida; Poales; Poaceae.